AGCGAACGCUGGCGGCAGGCCUAACACAUGCAAGUCGAACGGAUCCUUCGGGAUUAGUGGCGGACGGGUGAGUAACACGUGGGAACGUGCCCUUUGGUUCGGAACAAAUCAGGGACACUUGAGCUAAUACCGGAUGUGCCCUUCGGGGGAAAGAUUUAUCGCCAUUGGAGCGGCCCGCGUCUGAGUAGCUAGUUGGUGAGGUAAAGGCUCACCAAGGCGACGAUCAGUAGCUGGUCUGAGAGGAUGAUCAGCCACAUUGGGACUGAGACACGGCCCAAACUCCUACGGGAGGCAGCAGUGGGGAAUCUUGCGCAAUGGGCGAAAGCCUGACGCAGCCAUGCCGCGUGAAUGAUGAAGGUCUUAGGAUUGUAAAAUUCUUUCACCGGGGACGAUAAUGACGGUACCCGGAGAAGAAGCCCCGGCUAACUUCGUGCCAGCAGCCGCAGUAA
Molecule: ribosomal RNA, 449 nt
Filed under: uncultured bacterium
Lineage: Bacteria
Description: partial 16S ribosomal RNA
Rfam family: Bacterial small subunit ribosomal RNA
Source: RNAcentral